This 218-nucleotide long non-coding RNA is filed under the name Mytilus galloprovincialis (Mediterranean mussel). The record is from RNAcentral. Lineage: Eukaryota; Metazoa; Mollusca; Bivalvia; Mytilida; Mytilidae.
GUCAUAUAUAACAGACUGAGUUUGGAGCUUUUUUGUAUUGUGAAUGGACAGGCGGAAUUUACUUUAAGCUGCUAUGGACUACCCAGUGGCUCCUGAUAUAACUUUGUUACUGCUGGAUCGCCCUUCAGUAAUUCAAUCGUCAUCAAGUUUUGAUUGACAAGUUGAUUGUGUUUCUUUCUUGCAAUAAAUGCCAUGACAAAUUUACAGCCAAAUAAAAC